UACAACAAUGUUAGAUAAUUUGAAUUGAAUUUCCAUUUUCUGGCUAUUAACGGUUGUAUGUAGAACCUGGGUAGUUUUUUGAAAAUACCUAGUGGGUACUACUCCUUCAUUUAUACAGUUAAGACCGCUCCUGUGUCUAUCAGCCCUUCAGCUGUAAACUUAUUGGUUUUAUUAAUCACAAUAGUUAUCAUCGCAUACCAUUUCUGAGCUAUUACUCUAUCUAUGCUAUUAAAGAAUUUCAUGGUACUAACUUGCUCUUCUUGUAGGGCUUCUCUUCUCACAGGUUCUAUUUUCUCUUGAAAUUCUC
This 307-nucleotide long non-coding RNA is filed under the name Prunus persica (peach). Its description in RNAcentral is "long non-coding RNA (PPER_LNC000952)". Lineage: Eukaryota; Viridiplantae; Streptophyta; Magnoliopsida; Rosales; Rosaceae. The record is from RNAcentral.